Molecule: ribosomal RNA, 459 nt
Filed under: uncultured bacterium
Lineage: Bacteria
Description: partial 16S ribosomal RNA
Rfam family: Bacterial small subunit ribosomal RNA
Source: RNAcentral
CCUACGGGAGGCAGCAGUGAGGAAUAUUGGUCAAUGGCCGAGAGGCUGAACCCGCCAAGUCGCGUGAGGGAAGACGGCCCUACGGGUUGUAAACCUCUUUUGUCGGGGAGCAAAGCGCACCACGUGUUGUUCAUUGAGAGUACCCGAAGAAACAGCAUAGGCUAACUCCGUGCCAGCAGCCGCGGUAAUACGGAGGAUGCGAGCUUUAUCCGGAUUUAUUGGGUUUAACGGGUGCGCAGGCGGAGGUGCAAGUCAGCGGUCAAAUUGCGGGGCUCAACACCGUACUGCCGUUGAAACUGCAUCCCUUGAGUGCGCGAGAAGUAUGCGGAAGGCGUGGUGGAGCGGUGAAAUGCAUAGAGAUCACGCAGAACUCCGAGUGCGAAGGCAGCAUACCGGCGCGCAACUGACGCUCAUGCACGAAAGCGUGGGUAUCGAACAGGAUUAGAUACCCGAGUAGUC